This 515-nucleotide ribosomal RNA is filed under the name uncultured bacterium. RNAcentral's name for it is "partial 16S ribosomal RNA". It matches the Rfam family "Bacterial small subunit ribosomal RNA", at positions 28 to 523 of the family's 1533-position model. The record is from RNAcentral.
GAUGAACGCUGGCGGCGUGCCUAAUACAUGCAAGUCGAGCGAAUGGAUUAAGAGCUUGCUCUUAUGAAGUUAGCGGCGGACGGGUGAGUAACACGUGGGUAACCUGCCCAUAAGACUGGGAUAACUCCGGGAAACCGGGGCUAAUACCGGAUAACAUUUUGAACCGCAUGGUUCGAAAUUGAAAGGCGGCUUCGGCUGUCACUUAUGGAUGGACCCGCGUCGCAUUAGCUAGUUGGUGAGGUAACGGCUCACCAAGGCAACGAUGCGUAGCCGACCUGAGAGGGUGAUCGGCCACACUGGGACUGAGACACGGCCCAGACUCCUACGGGAGGCAGCAGGAGGGAAUCUUCCGCAUUGGACGAAAGUCUGACGGAGCAACGCCGCGUGAGUGAUGAAGGCUUUCGGGUCGUAAAACUCUGUUGUUAGGGAAGAACAAGUGCUAGUUGAAUAAGCUGGCACCUUGACGGUACCUAACCAGAAAGCCACGGCUAACUACGUGCCAGCCGCCGCGGUAA